GCCCAGCACGAUGGCCCCGGCAGCAGGGGGUCCCUCUUUGUGCUCGUCCACUCUGACCCCCCGUGCCACUCUCCGCCUGUGGGAACCGGACAAGAAGAAUGUCGGGGUGGGGCCGGGGGCCACCAGCCCCGGCCGGCCCGGCCAGCGCCCCCCAGCACAUUCUUUGCCUGCAAAUAUUCUGACAUCACCCCGGCACAGCUCCUCGCCGGCUCCUUCGUUAACUCCUUUAUGCCUUGCCGCCGGCAGACAAUGGUCCUGCUGCAGGCUGCAGGAGGAGGAGGGGAGGGACGCAUCUUUCCCAGGACAACUUUUCCAUGAGCCGUGGACCUAAGGCAAGCGUGGAUUUUAAGGCCGGGAGAUUCUCCUGAGAUUCACAAGGAAAUUCUUGAUCCAGUCUUGGAGAAGAGGGUAUUUAUUUCUGGAGGAAGGAUGGGAUUAAAAGAAGAUUAAAAUGAUCAACCAUCUCCAGCAUUUCACUAUCAAUCCAGUUCUUGAUCUUCAUGAAGAAUGUAGCCUUGAAAAAAAUAUUUGCCAAAAAUAUAGAAAGCCAAAAUUUUAAUUAUUAUGUCUCUGCCUGUUUCUAAUACUGUUCACUUAGAAAACAACAUAAUGAAACGUUUCAUUACCCCUUACUAGCUGCUGAGAAAAUUCUGGAGUUACAUUGAAACAUCAAGCUUUCAAAUGACUGCAACUUCUAUCAAAUACUUCUAAAGACAACAAAAAAUGUCUCCAUUAGAAAUACAAAAACAUUUUGUGACCAAUACUCUCCCAGGAAGGUUUAUUAUAGUUCUAAAGUCAAUUCCAGCUAGUUGGGGGUUUUUUUCAGAUAUCAACUAAACCGUAUUGUGAGAAAAGUAUAAAGAAUUUUUUUUUUCCUUAGAUUUUUAUUUUAAUCACCUAAAAAUCAUUCUUAUGGAAAUGAGAAAGACAAAAAGAUUCCCCAGGGACUGAGAAACUUCACUGAUUUGCAUCAUUAACACUGAAAAGAACUUGCCUGGAAAUGGCCCCUUCACGUUUUCUUUUAUUUACAUUUCCAGACAAAUACAAAAUUAAUUUCAACAAGAAGGUUUCUUGUAGAUUCCUAUCCCAUUUUGAUUAGUCUAGCCAUUAAAACAUGAAUAUAGCUUGCUGUGCUUUGAUUUAGUCUUUGUUACACCGCAAUUCUUAAAUUUUUAAAAAUUUUUUAUUUUUUUAGUUUUUACUUCAUUUAUAAAGGGUUUGCAACAUGGGGGCUCUGAGUGAUCAUUGACUGUAUUAACAUUCAUAAUUAACACCAGUAAUUAUUAAGACGCUUUUGGAACAAUUACCAUUUGUGGCAUGGAAUGAGAGAAAAGUGACAUUCAUUUAACAAAACUCUAGUUUCCAUUUAACAAGUCUGUCCAAGCAUAAGCAAAAAUGAAAAAAAAACCCAAAUCUGAGCACACUAAAUAUAUAUUUAAAUGCAGAUAAAUUUCUAUGAUAAAGUAGUUCUUUCAAGGCUCAGAUCAAAAUUUUAAACAGUUUACCUUCUUUGUGUCUUCUGAAGAGUUUUACGUAACAAACUUUCAGUGUCAUCACUAAUAGCAGUUCAUGCCAAGGAUUACUUUCUUAAAACUGCUACUCAAGCCCGGUGAUUUGCAGUACACUUCUUAUUACAGGAUACAUUAUGCAGAAACCCUCUGCUAUGUGAUGGGACAUGGCAACCCUGCUGUGAGAAUGCCUAUCAGCGCUUCUUUUAAGGCCCUUUCUCAAUUGUCAGCAAAGUAUUUUUUAAGGUUAAAAGGUGUAAAAUUAUUCUGAAACGCUUUUCUGACCUGUCGCCUAUCACUGCAAAAAGCUAUAGUUCAUUUUUUUUCUAAAAUUGUAUUUUUAAAAUGUGAUAUUAUAAGAAUAAAGCUAGUAAGAAAAAUAU
This is a non-coding RNA of Zonotrichia albicollis (white-throated sparrow), 1891 nucleotides long. The record is from RefSeq and is a predicted model, not a curated record. Lineage: Eukaryota; Metazoa; Chordata; Aves; Passeriformes; Passerellidae.